UACGUAGGGUGCGAGCGUUAAUCGGAAUUACUGGGCGUAAAGCGUGCGCAGGCGGUUUUGUAAGUCAGAUGUGAAAUCCCCGGGCUUAACCUGGGAACUGCGUUUGAAACUACAAGGCUAGAGUGUGGCAGAGGGGGGUGGAAUUCCACGUGUAGCAGUGAAAUGCGUAGAGAUGUGGAGGAACACCGAUGGCGAAGGCAGCCCCCUGGGUUAACACUGACGCUCAGGCGCGAAAGCGUGGGGAGCAAACAGG
This 253-nucleotide ribosomal RNA is filed under the name uncultured bacterium. RNAcentral describes it as "partial 16S ribosomal RNA". It matches the Rfam family "Bacterial small subunit ribosomal RNA", at positions 524 to 776 of the family's 1533-position model. The record is from RNAcentral.